This is a long non-coding RNA of Pseudopipra pipra, 1444 nucleotides long. RefSeq lists it as uncharacterized. The transcript has 2 exons. The record is from RefSeq and is a predicted model, not a curated record. NCBI's taxonomy places the organism in Eukaryota, Metazoa, Chordata, Aves, Passeriformes, Pipridae.
GCCCCCCGGGUUGGGGCACCCCGAGGACUCCAGCGCGCACCGAAAGGAUUAUUCGGGGAGAUCCUCGGGGUGCCCGGCCCUGGGGAGCUCAAAGCAAGGUCCCUGCAAUGGAUUCAGGCAUUGCUGAGAGUAGACUGGACUGGGCAGAGAGGGAGCAGUUUGUCCUGUGGAGUUGGGAUGGGUUAGUUCAGGAUGCCUUGGGAGGCAGGGCUGGAGAGGCCCCUCUGUUGGCUGUAGUGGUGGAAGGUUGUAGCAGCAGGGAUGGAGCCUUCGACCUCCUGCUCCCCCCGUGAGCCCCGACGGGACCGUGCCCUUGGCAAUGGAGGGCCCCCCAUUGCUGAGUCAGCGGUUCCGGGGCCAGGAGGGAUGGGAUCAGGAUGCCGAGCUCUGCCCAGGGCCAGGGCUACCAAUGUUCAACCAUGGAGAGAACUGAAAGCAGAGUGAGAUGGAGGCCAAGCUGCAGCACAGGGAUGGGUGAGAAAAGACCCUGGUCCUCAGGUGGAGCUUUGAAUUCCCUGGAAAAAUGGAUCCUGUCAGAUGGUUCAGGCCCUCGUGGGUGCUGGAGCAGAGGCCUCUGUAAUUUAUGGUCACCCUAAAAAGUUGCAAGGACAGCAAGUUCUGACUGCAGGAUGAGGUGGGAAGCAAAGUGAAGUGGUCCAGAGAAAAGCUGAGCUUAAAUUGGUCCUGUGCCAGAGCAGCCUCGUGCAGUGCUUGUUGCUGUCCCUGAGUGUCCCAUUGCAGUGGAUAUUCCCAAGGGUGCCUUGUGCUGGGGAACACUGGGGGCAGUUCCCUUUCCCUGGGCAGGGCAGGCAGGGCACGUUUCCCCCCUCGAGGGUGGCUCCACAGUCCCACCCUGUGCCCUGGGAGCGUGGCAGAACACCUGGACCCACUGUCCUUGUCAGAGAGGGGACAAGGGAUGGUUGGAUGGGUGAGGGAAUGGUUCAGGGAGUACAAGCACCAUUAGAGUGAGUAGUGCAGCACAUGGAAAGGAAGGGGGGGAGUUAAUCCAGACAAAAUUCAAGCACCUGCCCAACCUGUGAUAUUUUUAGGAUCUCAGAGGUGUUGUGGUCCCCCGGAAGUUUUGCCCAGGACUAGGCAGGAGACUUCAGGCUUGGUCACCCCCAGAGCAAGGUGGAAGCCCAGCAGUUUAUUGGUUGGUUUGGCUUUUGGUGACAACAAGGUCCUCCUUUGGGACCAGUCCUUGGCCUGGGCCAUAAAGUCUAAGGGCAGAAGUGUGAGUUUGAGUGGGAAAUGAGCAGCAGGGAGGGUUGGAAACAGCUCGGGGAGCAAUUCAAGAGGCUCCAGACCUGUGGCCAAUACGAGCUGCAGAGGGGGAACUGAAGGUUCCUGCCAGUGCUAAUGAUGCCAAUUGGAGCCUCUGGCAGAAGUAGGGUAGGAAGGAAGUGCCCUUAGGAUUUGGGAAUAGGAAGUUACUGGAAGCCAG